GACGAACGCUGGCGGCGUGCUUAACACAUGCAAGUCGAACGGAAAGGCCCUGCUUUUGUGGGGUGCUCGAGUGGCGAACGGGUGAGUAACACGUGAGUAACCUGCCCUUGACUUUGGGAUAACUUCAGGAAACUGGGGCUAAUACCGGAUAGGAGCUCCUGCUGCAUGGUGGGGGUUGGAAAGUUUCGGCGGUUGGGGAUGGACUCGCGGCUUAUCAGCUUGUUGGUGGGGUAGUGGCUUACCAAGGCUUUGACGGGUAGCCGGCCUGAGAGGGUGACCAGCCACAUGGGGACUGAGAUACGGCCCAGAAUCCUACGGGAGGCAGCAGUGGGGAAUAUUGCACAAUGGGCGGAAGCCUGAUGCAGCAACGCCGGGUGCGGGAUGACGGCCUUCGGGUUGUAAACCGCUUUCGCCUGUGACGAAGCGUGAGUGACGGUAAUGGGUAAAGAAGCACCGGCUAACUACGUG
RNAcentral lists this ribosomal RNA (468 nucleotides) under uncultured bacterium. RNAcentral's name for it is "partial 16S ribosomal RNA". It matches the Rfam family "Bacterial small subunit ribosomal RNA", at positions 28 to 507 of the family's 1533-position model. The record is from RNAcentral.